AACGCGAAGAACCUUACCAGGUCUUGACAUCCGAUUAAAGCCAUUGAAAGAUGGUGUCCCUUCGGGGGAAUCGAGACAGGUGGUGCAUGGUUGUCGUCAGCUCGUGUCGUGAGAUGUUGGGUUAAGUCCCGCAACGAGCGCAACCCUUAUCCUUAGUUGCCAGCACGUAGAGGUGGGGACUCUAAGGAGACCGCCGGGGACAACUCGGAGGAAGGUGGGGACGACGUCAAAUCAUCAUGCCCCUUAUGAUCUGGGCUACACACGUGCUACAAUGGCCGUAACAAAGGGUAGCGGACAGGUAACUGCAAGCGAAUCUCAAAAAAACGGUCUCAGUUCGGAUUGUGGGCUGCAACCCGCCCACAUGAAGUCGGAGUUGCUAGUAAUCGCGAAUCAGCAUGUCGCGGUGAAUACGUUCCCGGGCCUUGUACACACCGCCCGU
This 439-nucleotide ribosomal RNA is filed under the name uncultured bacterium. Its description in RNAcentral is "bacterial SSU rRNA". It matches the Rfam family "Bacterial small subunit ribosomal RNA", at positions 958 to 1397 of the family's 1533-position model. The record is from RNAcentral.